Molecule: ribosomal RNA, 1346 nt
Filed under: uncultured bacterium
Lineage: Bacteria
Description: partial 16S ribosomal RNA
Rfam family: Bacterial small subunit ribosomal RNA
Source: RNAcentral
GACGAACGCUGGCGGCGUGCUUAACACAUGCAAGUCGAACGGAAAGGCCCUGCUUUUGUGGGGUGCUCGAGUGGCGAACGGGUGAGUAACACGUGAGUAACCUGCCCUUGACUUUGGGAUAACUUCAGGAAACUGGGGCUAAUACCGGAUAGGAGCUCCUGCUGCAUGGUGGGGGUUGGAAAGUUUCGGCGGUUGGGGAUGGACUCGCGGCUUAUCAGCUUGUUGGUGGGGUAGUGGCUUACCAAGGCUUUGACGGGUAGCCGGCCUGAGAGGGUGACCGGCCACAUUGGGACUGAGAUACGGCCCAGACUCCUACGGGAGGCAGCAGUGGGGAAUAUUGCACAAUGGGCGGAAGCCUGAUGCAGCAACGCCGCGUGCGGGAUGACGGCCUUCGGGUUGUAAACCGCUUUCGCCUGUGACGAAGCGUGAGUGACGGUAAUGGGUAAAGAAGCACCGGCUAACUACGUGCCAGCAGCCGCGGUGAUACGUAGGGUGCGAGCGUUGUCCGGAUUUAUUGGGCGUAAAGGGCUCGUAGGUGGUUGAUCGCGUCGGAAGUGUAAUCUUGGGGCUUAACCCUGAGCGUGCUUUCGAUACGGGUUGACUUGAGGAAGGUAGGGGAGAAUGGAAUUCCUGGUGGAGCGGUGGAAUGCGCAGAUAUCAGGAGGAACACCAGUGGCGAAGGCGGUUCUCUGGGCCUUUCCUGACGCUGAGGAGCGAAAGCGUGGGGAGCGAACAGGCUUAGAUACCCUGGUAGUCCACGCUGUAAACGGUGGGUACUAGGUGUGGGGUCCAUUCCACGGGUUCCGUGCCGUAGCUAACGCUUUAAGUACCCCGCCUGGGGAGUACGGCCGCAAGGCUUAAACUCAAAGGAAUUGACGGGGCCCCGCACAAGCGGCGGAGCAUGCGGAUUAAUUCGAUGCAACGCGUAGAACCUUACCUGGGUUUGACAUGGAUCGGGAGUGCUCAGAGAUGGGUGUGCCUCUUUUGGGGUCGGUUCACAGGUGGUGCAUGGCUGUCGUCAGCUCGUGUCGUGAGAUGUUGGGUUAAGUCCCGCAACGAGCGCAACCCUUGUUCACUGUUGCCAGCACGUUAUGGUGGGGACUCAGUGGAGACCGCCGGGGUCAACUCGGAGGAAGGUGGGGAUGACGUCAAGUCAUCAUGCCCCUUAUGUCCAGGGCUUCACGCAUGCUACAAUGGCUGGUACAGAGAGUGGCGAGCCUGUGAGGGUGAGCGAAUCUCGGAAAGCCGGUCUCAGUUCGGAUUGGGGUCUGCAACUCGACCUCAUGAAGUCGGAGUCGCUAGUAAUCGCAAAUCAGCAACGCUGCGGUGAAUACGUUCCCGGGGCU